Molecule: ribosomal RNA, 255 nt
Filed under: uncultured bacterium
Lineage: Bacteria
Description: partial 16S ribosomal RNA
Rfam family: Bacterial small subunit ribosomal RNA
Source: RNAcentral
UACGAAGGGGGCGAGCGUUGUUCGGAUUUACUGGGCGUAAAGGGCGCGUAGGCGGCCCUCCUAGUCGCGUGUGAAAGCCCGGGGCUCAACCCCUGGGAAUGCCGGUGGAUACUGUCGGACUCGAGUCCGGAAGAGGCGAGUGGAAUUCCUGGUGUAGCGGUGAAAUGCGCAGAUAUCAGGAGGAACACCGAUGGCGAAGGCAGCUCUCUGGGACGGUACUGACGCUGAGACGCGAAAGCGUGGGGAGCGAACAGG